RNAcentral lists this ribosomal RNA (275 nucleotides) under Anaerobutyricum hallii. RNAcentral describes it as "partial 16S ribosomal RNA". It matches the Rfam family "Bacterial small subunit ribosomal RNA", at positions 502 to 776 of the family's 1533-position model. The record is from RNAcentral. Lineage: Bacteria; Bacillati; Bacillota; Clostridia; Lachnospirales; Lachnospiraceae.
UAUGGUAAUUGUGCCGCGGUAAUACGUAUGGAGCAAGCGUUAUCCGGAUUUACUGGGUGUAAAGGGUGCGUAGGUGGCAGUGCAAGUCAGAUGUGAAAGGCCGGGGCUCAACCCCGGAGCUGCAUUUGAAACUGCUCGGCUAGAGUACAGGAGAGGCAGGCGGAAUUCCUAGUGUAGCGGUGAAAUGCGUAGAUAUUAGGAGGAACACCAGUGGCGAAGGCGGCCUGCUGGACUGUUACUGACACUGAGGCACGAAAGCGUGGGGAGCAAACAGG